UAAACACGGGCUCAGAAGUUAUU
RNAcentral lists this non-coding RNA (23 nucleotides) under Arabidopsis thaliana (thale cress). Lineage: Eukaryota; Viridiplantae; Streptophyta; Magnoliopsida; Brassicales; Brassicaceae. The record is from RNAcentral.